UACGGGGGAUGCGAGCGUUAUCCGGAUUUAUUGGGUUUAAAGGGUGCGCAGGCGGCCUGUUAAGUCAGCGGUAAAAGCCCGGGGCUCAACCCCGGCGAGCCGUUGAAACUGGCGGGCUGGAGUUGGAGAGAAGUACGCGGAAUGCGCGGUGUAGCGGUGAAAUGCUUAGAUAUCGCGCAGAACCCCGAUUGCGAAGGCAGCAUGCCGGCUUCCGACUGACGCUGAAGCACGAAAGCGUGGGGAUCGAACAGG
RNAcentral lists this ribosomal RNA (252 nucleotides) under uncultured Bacteroidales bacterium. Its description in RNAcentral is "partial 16S ribosomal RNA". It matches the Rfam family "Bacterial small subunit ribosomal RNA", at positions 524 to 776 of the family's 1533-position model. Lineage: Bacteria; Pseudomonadati; Bacteroidota; Bacteroidia; Bacteroidales. The record is from RNAcentral.